GCGGCGCCGCCGCUGCCCCCGAGCCCGCACGGAGCCCGCUCGGAGCCCGCGGGCCUCGCUGCCACAGGGCGGCGGCCCCCGGCCCGUCCCGCUGCCCGGCGCGGCCCAAAGUUUCCCGGCGGAACGGGGAGCAUGGGCUUCUCCCUGCCUGCAGCACCAGGAGGAGCCUGCUGAGCCAGCACAGGGGGAGGACGAGUGAGCUGCUCUGGGAUGAUGCCCUGGGUGCUUCUGCAUGGCCAUGGAAUAAGGAGCAGCUGACAAGCAAGGCUGGGGGAGCUGUGGAAGGAAAAAAGAGCCCAGAGGAGAAGGAGGAAUACAGUGCAGUCAGCUGGAGCUUUCAUUGGAAGCCACACACCAACCCAGGGAUGAAAGGAUGA
This 377-nucleotide long non-coding RNA is filed under the name Zonotrichia albicollis (white-throated sparrow). RNAcentral describes it as "lncRNA (ENSZALG00000010477.1)". The record is from RNAcentral. Lineage: Eukaryota; Metazoa; Chordata; Aves; Passeriformes; Passerellidae.